UACGUAGGGUGCAAGCGUUACUCGGAAUUACUGGGCGUAAAGCGUGCGUAGGUGGUUUGUUAAGUCUGAUGUGAAAGCCCUGGGCUCAACCUGGGAAUGGCAUUGGAAACUGGCGACCUAGAGUGCGGUAGAGGGUAGUGGAAUUCCCGGUGUAGCAGUGAAAUGCGUAGAGAUCGGGAGGAACAUCCGUGGCGAAGGCGACUACCUGGACCAGCACUGACACUGAGGCACGAAAGCGUGGGGAGCAAACAGG
Molecule: ribosomal RNA, 253 nt
Filed under: uncultured bacterium
Lineage: Bacteria
Description: partial 16S ribosomal RNA
Rfam family: Bacterial small subunit ribosomal RNA
Source: RNAcentral